UACGUAGGUGGCAAGCGUUGUCCGGAAUUAUUGGGCGUAAAGCGCGCGCAGGCGGCGAUGUCAGUCGGAUGUGUAAGCCCGGGGCUCAACCCCGGUGAGCAUUCGAAACUGCAUGGCUUGAGUGCAGGAGAGGAGAGUGGAAUUCCACGUGUAGCGGUGAAAUGCGUAGAGAUGUGGAGGAACACCAGUGGCGAAGGCGACUCUCUGGGCUGUCACUGACGCUGAGGCGCGAAAGCGUGGGGAGCAAACAGG
This 252-nucleotide unclassified non-coding RNA is filed under the name uncultured Paenibacillaceae bacterium. Its description in RNAcentral is "contains 16S-23S intergenic spacer region". It matches the Rfam family "Bacterial small subunit ribosomal RNA", at positions 524 to 776 of the family's 1533-position model. Lineage: Bacteria; Bacillati; Bacillota; Bacilli; Caryophanales; Paenibacillaceae. The record is from RNAcentral.